Neofelis nebulosa (Clouded leopard) is the source of this 351-nucleotide long non-coding RNA. RefSeq lists it as uncharacterized. The record is from RefSeq and is a predicted model, not a curated record. The transcript is spliced from 2 exons. Lineage: Eukaryota; Metazoa; Chordata; Mammalia; Carnivora; Felidae.
CAUUUCAUUUCAUGGUUAUUUCUGAAGAUCAUUCUGUGAUAUAAAGGAGGGGAAAGUGAAGUGACAAGGUGCCUAGCAGCUCAUACCACCGUUCUGCAAAGUGGCUUGUGAUGGGGACAGGAGGCAGGUGUCCCAAAAAGAGGAAGAGUCUGAUCUUGGAAAUUAAAAAAUUGACCAGAGGGAAAUGGAAAGAACACAGGCUUUGAAGAUGAAAGACCUGGGUUCAAAUUCUGAUUCUGCAAUUUACUGGCUGUGUGAUCUUGGGCAAGUGACUUAACCAUUCUGAGCCUCAGUUUCCUCAUUUGUAAUGUGAGACUAUAACCCCACCUUUAAAGGCUGUGCUGAGAUGAA